RNAcentral lists this transfer RNA (75 nucleotides) under Clostridium botulinum. RNAcentral's name for it is "tRNA-Glu". It matches the Rfam family "tRNA". Rfam says of the family: Transfer RNA (tRNA) molecules are approximately 80 nucleotides in length. Their secondary structure includes four short double-helical elements and three loops (D, anti-codon, and T loops). The record is from RNAcentral. Lineage: Bacteria; Bacillati; Bacillota; Clostridia; Eubacteriales; Clostridiaceae.
GACCUGUUAGUCAAGCGGUUAAGACGCUACUUUCUCUAAGUAGAAUCAGGAGUUCGAGUCUCUUACAGGUUACCA